RNAcentral lists this transfer RNA (73 nucleotides) under Myotis brandtii (Brandt's bat). It matches the Rfam family "tRNA". From Rfam's summary of the family: Transfer RNA (tRNA) molecules are approximately 80 nucleotides in length. Their secondary structure includes four short double-helical elements and three loops (D, anti-codon, and T loops). The record is from Rfam by way of RNAcentral. Lineage: Eukaryota; Metazoa; Chordata; Mammalia; Chiroptera; Vespertilionidae.
GCCAGUGUGGCUCAGUGGAUAGAGCAUCAGCCUGCGGACUGAAGGGUCCCAGGUUCGAUUCUGGCCAAGGGCA